CGUGUGCUGUUCCGAUCUCGUCACUCAGAAAAGCUUCGCCUACUGGCGAGGAAGGUCGGACGCAAACAGAUGAAUUUCGUGGAUGGAAUACACGAACGUUUUCCUUCGUGAAAUCCAGCGAUCACGGGCAAUAAAUGCACCGUGCCGGAUCGAGAUUGCCGUUCGAGAUGUCAGGCAACGGUUUAUGGAGCAAAUGCCACGUAUGCGUGGAAUAAUU
Long non-coding RNA from Frieseomelitta varia, 217 nucleotides. RefSeq lists it as uncharacterized. NCBI's taxonomy places the organism in Eukaryota, Metazoa, Arthropoda, Insecta, Hymenoptera, Apidae. The record is from RefSeq and is a predicted model, not a curated record. The transcript has 3 exons.